UACGUAGGGACCAAGCGUUGUUCGGAUUUACUGGGCGUAAAGGGCGCGUAGGCGGCUUAUUAAGUCAGCUGUGAAAUCUCCGAGCUUAACUCGGAACUGUCAGCUGAUACUGAUCUGCUAGAGUGCGGAAGGGGCAAUCGGAAUUCUUGGUGUAGCGGUGAAAUGCGUAGAUAUCAAGAGGAACACCUGAGGUGAAGACGGGUUGCUGGGCCGACACUGACGCUGAGUGCGCGAAAGCCAGGGGAGCAAACGGG
RNAcentral lists this ribosomal RNA (254 nucleotides) under uncultured bacterium. RNAcentral describes it as "partial 16S ribosomal RNA". It matches the Rfam family "Bacterial small subunit ribosomal RNA", at positions 524 to 776 of the family's 1533-position model. The record is from RNAcentral.